This 195-nucleotide ribosomal RNA is filed under the name Triticum aestivum (bread wheat). RNAcentral's name for it is "partial small subunit ribosomal RNA". Lineage: Eukaryota; Viridiplantae; Streptophyta; Magnoliopsida; Poales; Poaceae. The record is from RNAcentral.
AUGGAUGGGCUUCUACAUUUGGACUUUGCUCCCGGACUAGCCCUUGCAAAUCAGGUGAGGCACAGGUUUGGCACGACAGUCCAUUUUUCCCCUUCCCAAGGUUCUAGGGAAUUUUUUCUGGUGGUCACUUUCUCCUCAGCCUCCUUUCCUCUCUCGGUGGAAUCUGUUGGUAUUGCCUUGCAAUGUUGUCUUGGG